Molecule: ribosomal RNA, 172 nt
Filed under: uncultured soil bacterium
Lineage: Bacteria
Description: partial 16S ribosomal RNA
Rfam family: Bacterial small subunit ribosomal RNA
Source: RNAcentral
ACUCCUACGGGAGGCAGCAGUGGGGAAUAUUGCACAAUGGGCGCAAGCCUGAUGCAGCCAUGCCGCGUGAGUGAUGAAGGCCUUCGGGUUGUAAAGCUCUUUCAGAUGGGACGAUGAUGACGGUACCAUCAGAAGAAGCCCCGGCUAACUUCGUGCCAGCAGCCGCGGUAAU